AUCAGGAAUGCGAAUUACUAAAUCAUUUAUUAGAGAGUAUGGAGCAAAUUCUUCAGUGGGAAUCAAAUGCCAGGAAUAUAAUUGGAGGAGAUAUCAAUGAACUAAAGGUUAAGGAGGUAUAUGUCAACAUAUUAUGGAACAAAUGGUGAGAACCCUUACAAAAAGAGUCUAUAGGCCUGGCCCAUAGGCCAACCUAUGGGUUCCUAUAGGAAACCUAUAGGUUUUUAUAGGCAAUUGGAACAUUUUCUAUAGGUCACCUAUAGGGAUGCCUAUAAGCCUAUAGAGCUCUAUAGAUGCCUAAAGGCUUCUAUAGGGAAUUGGAACAUUUCCUAUAGGCACCUAUAGGCCACCUAUAGACUUUUUUCAUAAGGGAAAACCUACAAGAAGUCAAAACCCACCGGGCACACGACGUUGUUUCAACGUUGAAAUUUGGCAG
Molecule: non-coding RNA, 436 nt
Organism: Paramuricea clavata
Lineage: Eukaryota; Metazoa; Cnidaria; Anthozoa; Malacalcyonacea; Plexauridae
Source: the annotation of a GenBank genome assembly